Long non-coding RNA from Poeciliopsis prolifica (blackstripe livebearer), 1645 nucleotides. RefSeq lists it as uncharacterized. NCBI's taxonomy places the organism in Eukaryota, Metazoa, Chordata, Actinopteri, Cyprinodontiformes, Poeciliidae. The record is from RefSeq and is a predicted model, not a curated record. The transcript has 3 exons.
CGUUUAGUCAGAGCUUCAAUCCUAACCCUAACCCAGGGCUUACAUCCUCUGAUCUCCUCGCAGUGAGAGCAGGGAAACGCUGCGUUAGCUGUCAGCCCUGCAGAGCUUCUCCUCUGCUGUAUUUAGCUCUGGGUCACUUGGCUCAGGGAGAAGCUCUGUGGUUUAUCUGGGUGUUAGAGAGAAACAUGACCUGAGAGCAGCUAAUCUGGCCUUUACACCUCCUGACACCACAAAACACAAAUAGGACUUGGUUGUUUUUAGCUUGUUUGUUGGAACUUCAUUCUUAACACAUUGAUCAACUGACAGAUUGAUUGAUUGAUCAUGUGUGUCCAGGCCACCCUCUCGUCCAUGCAGUUGUCUCGCCUUCACUCCUCCACACGUGCUCCAGUGACAGCCAGGGUUUUGCUGCGCCGCUCCUCCUCCCGCCGCCUCCUUCCCUCGCCACAGGAAGCUGCCGUCCCCCAGCUGGAGCGAAGACCCUCGCUCAUACCCAGCAUCCCCGAAGCCGUGCCUCCUGAGAGGCGGGCCCAGUUCAGACGAGGAACGUCAUGUCGAUGAGUGAUGCGUACAGCAUGUGUCUGAUCUGCCAUAAUGACUUAAGCCAAGGAUCAGGAGGGACCAGAGAGCUGCAGUGUACACACACCUUCCACAAAGAGUGCAUAGAGGAGUGGCUGUGGAGGAAACAGUCCUGUCCAACCUGUCAUGUCCAGGUGUGCAUACCUCAGCCUCUCUACUGGAGCUCCACCAGGGUCAAGGUCCCCUGAGACCUCCCUGAGACCGGACUAUGUCUUCAAACAGCUCCUCUGAUUUUAUUACAGAGAUCUGAUCCCAUCCUGUGAAACUCGGUUACAGCUCAGCUGUGACGACAGACUUCAGGUCUGUGAGAGCGAUACAUGACUGUCUCUUCAUGCUCCGUUUAUUGGGCUGGAUAAGUUUUCACUGCAAGACCAACAAGUUCUCUACAGUUCAGCCGGCUGCCUUCAUAGCACAGCAAAACCACUGGAGCCCUGAUUUUACUCCAGAAAAUCAGCGUUAUCGCUGGUUUUUAAGAGAUUUACAGUGGAGAACCUCACGGAUCAAUCAAUGACUCAUAGCUGCUGAUGGUCAAACCAGCUUCAUCCAGGGGUUCCCAUUGGUCCAGGUUGGCGGAUCUUUGACGGCUGAAGAUCCAACACUAUCAAGAUCAACUCAGGACAAAACACAUUUAAACCUUUUAAACAGGCUGCAUUUCUCUGGCCAAGUAUUUACAAGGACUUUCUCUUUAUUGGGAAAAUAUCUUUAUUUACCAGUUAAUUUUGCACUCUGUUUUCUUCUACAUUGGCUAGAUUUGCUUACAGUUGGUAUGUUUUGCAUUUUGAGCUUAUUUCUAAAUAUUCUGAGAUGCUUGAUAAAUAAGAAAAAACUUUAUGAAAUAAAACUGAAGCUAUGGUUCUAAAACACAACAGAAUAAUAUUUAAGCUGAUUUACAACAACUUUAACCUCAUUGUAAUGCUUUUUUUUUUAAAGCUUUACGAAUGUUAUAAUGUUUUCCUUUUUUUGACUGAUUACAUAUGUACAAACAUGGGUGCCGGCUGAAUGUUGCUUUAACAAUGUAAAAAACAUCCAAGGGUAUAAAGCCGUAAGUUUACUUUAAUAAAAAAUAGCU